GACGAACGCUGGCGGCGUGCUUAACACAUGCAAGUCGAACGGAAAGGCCCUGCUUUUGUGGGGUGCUCGAGUGGCGAACGGGUGAGUAACACGUGAGUAACCUGCCCUUGACUUUGGGAUAACUUCAGGAAACUGGGGCUAAUACCGGAUAGGAGCUCCUGCUGCAUGGUGGGGGUUGGAAAGUUUCGGCGGUUGGGGAUGGACACGCGGCUUAUCAGCUUGUUGGUGGGGUAGUGGCUUACCAAGGCUUUGACGGGUAGCCGGCCUGAGAGGGUGACCGGCCACAUUGGGCCGGAAGUAGGGACAAAACUCAUACGGGAGAGAGAAGUGGGGAAUAUUGAACAAUGGGCGGAAGCUUGAUGAAGCAACGCCGCUUGCGGGAGGACGGCCAUCGGGUUGUAAACCGCUUUCGCCUGUGACGAAGCGUGAGUGACGGUAAUGGGUAAAGAAGCACCGGCUAACUACGUG
This 468-nucleotide ribosomal RNA is filed under the name uncultured bacterium. RNAcentral's name for it is "partial 16S ribosomal RNA". It matches the Rfam family "Bacterial small subunit ribosomal RNA", at positions 28 to 507 of the family's 1533-position model. The record is from RNAcentral.